RNAcentral lists this long non-coding RNA (1095 nucleotides) under Olea europaea (common olive). RNAcentral's name for it is "long non-coding RNA (OEUR_LNC013455)". The record is from RNAcentral. Lineage: Eukaryota; Viridiplantae; Streptophyta; Magnoliopsida; Lamiales; Oleaceae.
UUUUUUUUUGAGCCUGGGCUAAGGUUUGUGAUGGGUGAAUGAAUCAAACCAGAGAGAAAAAGGGCUUUUUUUGGUGAUAUGAUAUAUUUUAGCUUUACGUCGAACUGAGCUUUUGUAGGUCACCAAUGUAGCAACCGGCAAUCCAAUUUAUCGUCAUUCAUCAUUUUUGAAGUCUUUUGUUCUUUGUUGUUACCUUUUUCAAAUAUGUAGUGUCCCUACAAUGAACUCUCUUUAAAUGGGUGGUUAUAAGUGGUGUACAAAAUCAGAGUAUCACUUUUGAUGGCUAUGAAUAUGCCAGAUAUCUCGUGAUUUGGAGUUUCUUAUAUAUUCAUAUUUAUGGUUCAUUGAAAAGUUCAUUGGAAUACAUCUUCAGUUGAGUUUUGCUUUUAACCCUUGCUCAUCUUGAGGAAACUUUUUGUUAUAUUCCAAUAGAUGGUUCUAUGAGAUAACCCUGAAUCUGAUAAGUGAGCUCCUCCUUAUGAGUAGAGCUUUGUUGAUAUUAUCGACAUUGAUAUCAUGAUGAAAUUAGGUUAUAUUGAAUGCUUUUCCUAAGUGAUCUCUUUCAACUUCUAAGAACCUUGGGCAAAAGAUAAUUAAUAUCAACUUUUAAGAAUGCUUUUAAGAAAGUGAAUGAAGAGAAAUGAGAGGAAUAUUGUAUUUUAUUCAAUAAACAAGUGUGUCUUAUUACCGUCAAAGAGCCUCUUUCUAUAGAUUAUAAAUUACAUUGAAAAAGGAAAAUUACAACUAGGAAGGAAAACUAGGAUUUCCUUUUAAAAAAGGUGACAAACUCAACUAUCUUACCAAAAUCAGUAAAACGCAAUAAUGGAAAAUUCUAUUCUAAUUGAUUUGAUAUCAUUUACGCCUGGAAUAUAUUUUCCAUUUUGCAUCACUCACAUUUUGUAGAAAUAGGUUUUGAUUUCUACAUUUCUGAAUGCUUUCCUGAAGUUGGAAAAUUUCAGUCUUGUAUCUGCAUGGAAUUGGAAUCAAAUACAUUUGAAUUUUUAUAUACUUGAGCAAGAGAAAAAUACAGCUUGCGAAUUUUUUACAGCCUCAUACAAAAUUUCACACACACACUGAUGGUAAUCUUAAAAUGAC